Molecule: ribosomal RNA, 406 nt
Filed under: uncultured bacterium
Lineage: Bacteria
Description: partial 16S ribosomal RNA
Rfam family: Bacterial small subunit ribosomal RNA
Source: RNAcentral
AUUGAAUGCUGGCGGCAGGCCUAACACAUGCAAGUCGAGCUAGCGGCGGACGGGUGAGUAAUGCCUAGGAAUCUGCCUGAUGGAGGGGGAUAACUACUGGAAACGGUAGCUAAUACCGCAUACCCUCGGAUGUGCCACGAUGGGAUUAGCCAGUAGGUGGGGUAACGGCUCACCUAGGCGACGAUCCCUAGCUGGUCUGAGAGGAUGACCAGCCACACUGAAACAGAGACACGGUCCAGACGCCUACGGGAGGCAGCAGUGGGGAAUAGGGCACAAUGGGCGCGAGCCUGAUGCAGCCAUGCCGCGUGUAUGAAGAAGGCCACCGGGUUGUAGAGUACUGUCAGCGGGGAGGCGUUACCCGCAGAGGAAGCACCGGAUGACUCCGUGCCAGCAGCCGCGGUAAUAC